This 87-nucleotide transfer RNA is filed under the name Desulfobacteraceae bacterium. RNAcentral describes it as "tRNA-Leu". It matches the Rfam family "tRNA". Rfam says of the family: Transfer RNA (tRNA) molecules are approximately 80 nucleotides in length. Their secondary structure includes four short double-helical elements and three loops (D, anti-codon, and T loops). The record is from RNAcentral. Lineage: Bacteria; Pseudomonadati; Thermodesulfobacteriota; Desulfobacteria; Desulfobacterales; Desulfobacteraceae.
GCGAGAGUGGCGGAAUUGGCAGACGCACCGGACUUAGGAUCCGGCUCCGCAAGGAAUAAGGAGUUCAAGUUCUCCUCUCUCGCACCA